This 497-nucleotide ribosomal RNA is filed under the name uncultured bacterium. Its description in RNAcentral is "partial 16S ribosomal RNA". It matches the Rfam family "Bacterial small subunit ribosomal RNA", at positions 28 to 507 of the family's 1533-position model. The record is from RNAcentral.
GAUGAACGCUGGCGGCGUGCCUAAUACAUGCAAGUCGAGCGAACGGACGAGAAGCUUGCUUCUCUGAUGUUAGCGGCGGACGGGUGAGUAACACGUGGAUAACCUACCUAUAAGACUGGGAUAACUUCGGGAAACCGGAGCUAAUACCGGAUAAUAUUUUGAACCGCAUGGUUCAAAAGUGAAAGACGGUCUUGCUGUCACUUAUAGAUGGAUCCGCGCUGCAUUAGCUAGUUGGUAAGGUAACGGCUUACCAAGGCAACGAUGCAUAGCCGACCUGAGAGGGGGAUCGGCGACACUGGAACGGAGACGCGGUCCAGACUCCUACGGGAGGCAGCAGUAGGGAAUCUUCCGCAAUGGGCGAAAGCCUGACGGAGCAACGCCGCGUGAGUGAUGAAGGUCUUCGGAUCGUAAAACUCUGUUAUUAGGGAAGAACAUAUGUGUAAGUAACUGUGCACAGCUUGACGGUACCUAAUAAGAAAGCCACGGCUAACUACGUG